UGGGGAAUAUAGCACAAUGGAGGGAACUCUGAUGCAGCGACGCCGCGUGAACGAAGAAGGCUUUCGAGUCGUAAAGUUCUUUUAUAUGGGAAGAUAAUGACGGUACCAUAAGAAGAAGCCCCGGCUAACUACGUGCCAGCAGCCGCGGUAAUACGUAGGGGGCUAGCGUUGUCCGGAAUCACUGGGCGUAAAGGGUUCGCAGGCGGAAAUGCAAGUCAGGUGUAAAAGGCAGUAGCUUAACUACUGUAAGCAUUUGAAACUGCAUAUCUUGAGAAGAGUAGAGGUAAGUGGAAUUUUUAGUGUAGCGGUGAAAUGCGUAGAUAUUAAAAAGAAUACCGGUGGCGAAGGCGACUUACUGGGCUCAUUCUGACGCUGAGGAACGAAAGCGUGGGUAGCAAACAGG
RNAcentral lists this ribosomal RNA (403 nucleotides) under bacterium. RNAcentral's name for it is "partial 16S ribosomal RNA". It matches the Rfam family "Bacterial small subunit ribosomal RNA", at positions 355 to 776 of the family's 1533-position model. The record is from RNAcentral.